This is a long non-coding RNA of Hibiscus syriacus, 1406 nucleotides long. RefSeq lists it as uncharacterized. The record is from RefSeq and is a predicted model, not a curated record. Lineage: Eukaryota; Viridiplantae; Streptophyta; Magnoliopsida; Malvales; Malvaceae. The transcript is spliced from 3 exons.
AGCUCUUGAAGUGUUGGGUUCUUUUUUGUGCGGUAGAGAUGUAGCUCAAUGGAGAAGUGCAAUCCAAAGACUUGAAAAGGAUUCUAACAAAGAGAUUAUUGACAGACUUCGAAUUAGUUUUUCCCGGAUAUCGGAAUCGAUGUUCUCAUUAAGAAGUCUCUACUAACAGUUGACGAAAACAACAAAUUGUGGAUGCACAACUUACUACAAGAAAUGGGAAGAAGAAUUGUUUGGGAAAAGUCUAUUGAGGAGCCUGGAAAACGUUGUAGAUUGUGGGAGGAAAAGGAUGUGUAUCAUGUGCUAACGAAGAACACUGAUAUCCAACAAGAUGCUCAGUUUGAAUGUUAAUGCCGUCUCGAAGAUGAAAAAAUUGAGAUUGCUCAAAGUCCUUUGCCUCUCAAAUUGUGAUGAACUCAAAUAUAUCUUCCUAAUGAGUUACGGCUUUUAGAUUGGAUGGGAUAUCCUUUAAGAUUCUUACCUCCAAGCUUCCAACCAGACAACCUGGUUGCACUUCUGCUACCAUACAGUCUCAUUGAACAAUUAUGGAAGGGAAAAAUAGUAAGAACUAAUUCUUACCUCCAAGGAUUAGUUACUAUUUGAUUUUAUUAAAGCCUUACUGGCUGAAGACGAGGACAACACAUUAAAGACUCCCUCUGAGAAAAGAAAAAUGGAAGAAGCAGAGGAAGACUGAACGAGCUAAGAAAGUACAUCAGCUUGAUUUGAUUAUUUUUGGUAAUAUCUCUUUGAAGAUUUCAUUCUAAUGUGGCUUACUAUUUGAGGUGGCAGAGGUUGAAAAUGCGGAUCUUGGAAAGGCACUACUCAGAGCCCUGGAAGAGCUAUUUGAUCUGCCUUCACAAACAAAAGAGCUCUAUGUUUCUAACAAAGCCUUUCGUGGCUAUUCGGGGGUUGCAAUUGGAUUAUUACAUGUAUGGUUAAAUGGUCGAUUGUGUGUCUUAUCACUGAAUUGUGAUGAAGGGAAACAGGGUACGAUACAUUUGCAAGGUUCCAGAAAAGCUUCUAGAUGACCAAAAUGGCUUGUUCAUGAUAAUUCAUUUAUUGCAAGGCUUCAUCAAAUACAAGUAUUCUUGAUUCCGACACCAUUCGCCCUAGUCCUUGUGGCAGCAGGUGCAACUGAAGUCAUGGCUUCAACCAGAAUGGUGGACUUCAUUAAACUGGCAAGUUUCCACGGCCGCCGUUGUUGCUAUUUUCUUGUAAUUUGCUUUGCUCAAAUCUCAUUUGCAUCCUCCAAUUAGUAUUAUAAUCUACCAUUAACCUUCAAACUCUAUAAUUGUAAGUGCACCAGAGGAGGACGUUGCUAGUCGUAAUUUACUUGAACAUGUAAUAGGUAGGAGGGUUGAAUCCAUUGUAAGUGUAUUCUCUAUCUCGGAAGAAUCAAUUGUACGAAU